UUAUAGGUCUUAUAUUCAUAAAAUAUGAUAUUAAAUUGCAAAUUUAAAGGAGUAAUAAUUACUAAGACUU
This 70-nucleotide transfer RNA is filed under the name Trichophoromyia ininii. RNAcentral's name for it is "tRNA-Cys". Lineage: Eukaryota; Metazoa; Arthropoda; Insecta; Diptera; Psychodidae. The record is from RNAcentral.